UGGGGAAUAUUGCGCAAUGGGCGAAAGCCUGACGCAGCAACGCCGCGUGAGUGAUGAAGGCCUUCGGGUCGUAAAGCUCUGUCGGAGGGAACGAAUGCUCCUGAAGUUAACAGCCUCAGGAGGUGACGGUACCCUCAAAGGAAGCACCGGCUAACUACGUGCCAGCAGCCGCGGUAAUACGUAGGGUGCAAGCGUUAAUCGGAAUUACUGGGCGUAAAGCGUGCGCAGGCGGUUGUGUAAGUCAGAUGUGAAAUCCCCGGGCUCAACCUGGGAAUUGCAUUUGAGACUGCACGGCUAGAGUGUGUCAGAGGGGGGUAGAAUUCCACGUGUAGCAGUGAAAUGCGUAGAUAUGUGGAGGAAUACCGAUGGCGAAGGCAGCCCCCUGGGAUAACACUGACGCUCAUGCACGAAAGCGUGGGGAGCAAACAGGAUUAGAUACCCUCGUAGUCCCUGAGCGGGCUGGCAAGGCGCAU
Molecule: ribosomal RNA, 473 nt
Filed under: uncultured bacterium
Lineage: Bacteria
Description: bacterial SSU rRNA
Rfam family: Bacterial small subunit ribosomal RNA
Source: RNAcentral